Molecule: long non-coding RNA, 401 nt
Organism: Dermochelys coriacea (leatherback sea turtle)
Lineage: Eukaryota; Metazoa; Chordata; Testudines; Dermochelyidae
Exons: 2
Source: RefSeq, a predicted model, not a curated record
CGAUUUUAAGAGCCCUUUAAGUCAAAAAAAAAGGGCUUCAUCAUGUGGACGAGUGCAGGGUUAAAUCAAUUAACACUGCUAAAUUCGACCUCAACUCCUAGUGUAGACAAGGGCAUAGAAAGGGGAGAUUUUUCUGUAGCCUCCCAGCUGGCCAAACUGGUCAUAAAGGUUAGAGCAAUUUUUUUUUUUUAAAUUUUCAGAUUUAAUCCCGAGUCUUCUUUAUCACAGGCCUCCUGAAAACCACUUCCUUCCCAUAGCAGGAAAGUUGACAAGAGGGAGGAAGAGUGACUCAGAAUUGGAUUGCAAAAGAAAGGCAGUAACACAAAAACAUUUGCCAGGAGUCAGUGAUUAGCACAGGUCAGGAAUUUUUCAUCUAAUGAUUUUGUUUGUUGUUGUUGUUG